RNAcentral lists this ribosomal RNA (506 nucleotides) under uncultured bacterium. Its description in RNAcentral is "bacterial SSU rRNA". It matches the Rfam family "Bacterial small subunit ribosomal RNA", at positions 20 to 518 of the family's 1533-position model. The record is from RNAcentral.
UGGCUCAGGAUGAACGCUAGCGACAGGCUAACACAUGCAAGUCGAGGGGCAGCACGGGAGUAGCAAUACAACUGGUGGCGACCGGCGCACGGGUGAGUAACGCGUAUGCAACCUACCUAUCAGAGGGGAAUAACCCGGCGAAAGUCGGACUAAUACCGCAUAAAACAGGGGCACCGCAUGGUGAUAUUUGUUAAAGAGAUUCGCUGAUAGAUGGGCAUGCGUUCCAUUAGGUAGUUGGUGAGGUAACGGCUCACCAAGCCGACGAUGGAUAGGGGAACUGAGAGGUUGGUCCCCCACACUGGUACUGAGACACGGACCAGACUCCUACGGGAGGCAGCAGUGAGGAAUAUUGGUCAAUGGGCGGGAGCCUGAACCAGCCAAGUCGCGUGAAGGAAGAAGGAUCUAUGGUUCGUAAACUUCUUUUGCAGGGGAAUAAAGUGCAGGACGUGUCCUGUUUUGUAUGUACCCUGAGAAUAAGGAUCGGCUAACUCCGUGCCAGCCGCGGC